RNAcentral lists this long non-coding RNA (822 nucleotides) under Anser brachyrhynchus (Pink-footed goose). Its description in RNAcentral is "lncRNA (ENSABRG00000020041.1)". The record is from RNAcentral. Lineage: Eukaryota; Metazoa; Chordata; Aves; Anseriformes; Anatidae.
GCACGGAGGAAUGUUUGCAUCCCAUCCCAAGGCAGCUGCCGGCCCUGACCCCCCAUGGCUUUGGGGGUUUGCGAGGUGCCUCAGAAACCCAUUUCGGGUUCACAGCCCCAGCGGUGCCCAGCGGCUGAAGUCGACGCUGCUGCCAGAAGGGCCGGUCUCGCGCCCACCACAUCUCCUUGGGCCAGCCCUGGCAUCCACACGGCCACUCAGCCAGCCAGCACGCUGAACGUCCUGCAGAUUAACCCUACGGAAGGGAGAACAAGGAGGGAGGAUUGCUCCGAGACCAAGCGGCCCCCUGUGCCACGGGCCGCGCAGCCAAAGAAGCACAAGUGUCAGCGCAGGGGAGAGAGCAAGGGCGUGCGGCCGGCUGGGGGAGCUGCCUUCUGGCAGGAGCCCAGGGUGACAGGGUGGCUCCAGAGACCACAGGACAGCCGGUCGCCUCGUGUCAGAAAUCCUGUCUUCCAAGAACGACAAAACGUUGCCUCGCCCUUCACUUCUCCGGUAUUUUGUUUAUCCUGCUGUGGACACCAGCAGAUCUUAUCCCGUCCUUUGCAGCUAUUUUUAACCUGGACGUGUUCUGUGAUUUGUUUCACGCACAGCACUGAAAUGGCACAGCUGAGGGAGCAAGUAAACCCUCGAUCUGUCUGCUCACACCUUCAUGCCAGACCAGCCUCUCAGAGCCAAGGAUCUGCACUGCUCCCAGAAACCUUCCAGCCUUCUCCCUGCACUCAGCUCUCACCGUGUUGCGUGUUGACCAAGGACAUCAUCUGCCUUUCUGCAGCAGAGGUACCUACAGAUCACAUUCCUGCACAGAUCACUUGA